CAGUCGAGGGGCAGCAUGGUCUUAGCUUGCUAAGACUGAUGGCGACCGGCGCACGGGUGAGUAACACGUAUCCAACCUGCCGUCUACUCUUGGACAGCCUUCUGAAAGGAAGAUUAAUACAAGAUGGCAUCAUGAGUCCGCAUGUUCACAUGAUUAAAGGUAUUCCGGUAGACGAUGGGGAUGCGUUCCAUUAGAUAGUAGGCGGGGUAACGGCCCACCUAGUCUUCGAUGGAUAGGGGUUCUGAGAGGAAGGUCCCCCACAUUGGAACUGAGACACGGUCCAAACUCCUACGGGAGGCAGCAGUGAGGAAUAUUGGUCAAUGGGCGAGAGCCUGAACCAGCCAAGUAGCGUGAAGGAUGACUGCCCUAUGGGUUGUAAACUUCUUUUAUAAAGGAAUAAAGUCGGGUAUGCAUACCCGUUUGCAUGUACUUUAUGAAUAAGGAUCGGCUAACUCCGUGCCAGCAGCCGCGGUAAUACGGAGGAUCCGAGCGUUAUCCGGAUUUAUUGGGUUUAAAGGGAGCGUAGAUGGAUGUUUAAGUCAGUUGUGAAAGUUUGCGGCUCAACCGUAAAAUUGCAGUUGAUACUGGAUAUCUUGAGUGCAGUUGA
This 607-nucleotide ribosomal RNA is filed under the name uncultured bacterium. RNAcentral describes it as "bacterial SSU rRNA". It matches the Rfam family "Bacterial small subunit ribosomal RNA", at positions 59 to 655 of the family's 1533-position model. The record is from RNAcentral.